RNAcentral lists this ribosomal RNA (385 nucleotides) under uncultured crenarchaeote. RNAcentral's name for it is "bacterial SSU rRNA". It matches the Rfam family "Archaeal small subunit ribosomal RNA", at positions 474 to 859 of the family's 1478-position model. The record is from RNAcentral. Lineage: Archaea; Thermoproteati; Thermoproteota.
UACCAGCUCUCCGAGUGGUAGGGAYGAUUAUUGGGCUUAAAGCGUUCGUAGCCGGCCUGGCAAGUCUCUCGUCAAAUCCAGCGACUCAAUCGCUGGGCCGCGGGAGAUACUGCUAGGCUUGGGAGCGGGAGAGGUCGACGGUAUUCCCGGGGUAGGAGUGAAAUCCUGUAAUCCCGGGAGGACCACCAGUGGCGAAGGCUGUCGACUAGAACGCGUCCGACGGUGAGGGACGAAAGCUGGGGGAGCGAACCGGAUUAGAUACCCGGGUAGUCCCAGCUGUAAACGAUGCGGGCUAGGUGUCGGUGUGGCUACGAGCCACUCCGGUGCCGCAGGGAAGCUCUUAAGCCCGCCGCCUGGGAAGUACGGUCGCAAGGYUGAAACUUAW